AUCAACCUAAAAUCUAGAGUUUUCAUGGUCGAAUUAGGGGUUAGGGUAGAAACUAGAGAUUUCGGAAAUUUGGGGAUUUAGACCUCGAUUUAAGGUCGAAUUACAAAAUUAAUUAAAUAUUCGGGCUCGGGGGUGAAUGGGUAAAUAGAUUUUAGUCCGCACCUCGGGUUUUGACCAAGCGGGCCCGGGGUCAAUUUUUGACUUUUUAGAGGAAAAUUUGGGAAAUCUGUAAUUAUUCAUUAAAGUUGAUUCCUUUAGCAAUGUUUUAUAUUAUUGAGUCAUUUUUGAAUAGAUACGAGUGGUUUGGAGGUGAAUUCCAAAGGAAAAGCUGUGAUUGAGAAUUAAGUGGCCUUCAGAGCGAGGUAAGUGUCGUGUCUAACUUUGGCUUGAGGGAAUAGAUAUUAUGUGUUUAUUUGCUACGUGUUUGAUUAUUAAAUACGAUGUAUACGUGAGGUGACGAGCAUCUAUUCGUCACUGUAGAGUUAUAGCAUGCGAGUGAAAUUCUAUUCUUGUCUAUUUUGUAGUCUUAAAUUCUACUAUCCAUGCUUAGCGGGUUAUUUGAAAUGUUGGGUGACUUAUAUCUAGUUUCACUGAGAUUUGGUAACUUUCGAAUAUUUAUUCAAGGUUGAGGUUACAUUGUGCUAUUGAUUAUGGGUAAAAUACUGGUUUUUUUGUGAUACUCCUAUCUAACCGUUGUUAUUGAUUAUGUGAUUUGUGAGGAGGAGGGUAAAACACGAAGGGUGAUGCCGUGCAUGCAUUAUUUAUAUUGUGAGGUAGAGUGUAAAGCACGAAGGGUGAUGCCGUGUAUAUUAUGAGAGGUUUAAUGCACGAAGGGUGAUGUCGUGCCAUUCUAUUUAUUUAUUUGGUGAGGUUGAGAGUAAAAGCACGAAGGGUGAUGCCGUGCAGUUUUACUUUCCUAUUUUAUUUUCUCAAUUGGUUUAAGGAUUUUUGGUUGAAUUCUGUCUUUUCAUUAUUCUCACUCUUUAUAUUGUAUUCCCUCACUGUAUGUCCCCUUCCCAUUAUUUCUGCGUUAUUUCUUUAUUUACUAUUGUUGCCACUAGCAUGAUUAUACUGUUCAUGUUAUAUGUGGGUGUCUUGUCCUAGCCUCGUCACUACUUCGUCAAGGUUAGACUCGACACUUACCAUUAUAUGGGGUCGGUUAUACUGAUGCUGCACUCUACACUUUCUGUGCAGAUUUUGGUACUGGCUCAGGUUGAUCGAGAUUUUUCUAUUGGUCCGCUGUCCGGAGACUCAAGGUAUAUCUGUCGGCGUUCACAGACCUUGAAGUCCCUGUCUAUCUUUUAUGUCGUACUGUUUUCUUUCAUUCAAACAGUUGUAUUUCUUUCAUACUACAACUUGUAGUAAAUUCUAGAAUGCUCGUGAAUUGUAACUCCAAAUCCGGGUGGUAGUAAUUAAUACACUUUUAUAAUAUUUUGCAC
Molecule: long non-coding RNA, 1439 nt
Filed under: Nicotiana tabacum (common tobacco)
Lineage: Eukaryota; Viridiplantae; Streptophyta; Magnoliopsida; Solanales; Solanaceae
Description: long non-coding RNA (NTAB_LNC013636)
Source: RNAcentral